RNAcentral lists this ribosomal RNA (253 nucleotides) under uncultured bacterium. Its description in RNAcentral is "partial 16S ribosomal RNA". It matches the Rfam family "Bacterial small subunit ribosomal RNA", at positions 524 to 776 of the family's 1533-position model. The record is from RNAcentral.
UACGAAGGGGGGCUAGCGUUGUUCGGAUUUACUGGGCGUAAAGCGCACGUAGGCGGAUCGUUAAGUCGGGGGUGAAAUCCUGGAGCUCAACUCCAGAACUGCCUUCGAUACUGGCGAUCUUGAGUCCGGAAGAGGUGAGUGGAACUCCUAGUGUAGAGGUGGAAUUCGUAGAUAUUAGGAAGAACACCAGUGGCGAAGGCGGCUCACUGGUCCGGUACUGACGCUGAGGUGCGAAAGCGUGGGAGCAAACAGG